Molecule: ribosomal RNA, 253 nt
Filed under: uncultured bacterium
Lineage: Bacteria
Description: partial 16S ribosomal RNA
Rfam family: Bacterial small subunit ribosomal RNA
Source: RNAcentral
UACGUAGGGCGCAAGCGUUGUCCGGAAUUAUUGGGCGUAAAGAGCUCGUAGGUGGUUUGUUACGUCUGCUGUGAAAACCUAGGGCUUAACCCUGGGCUUGCAGUGGAUACGGGCAGACUAGAGGUAGGUAGGGGAGAAUGGAAUUCCGGGUGUAGCGGUGGAAUGCGUAGAGAUCCGGAAGAACACCGGUGGCGAAGGCGGUCUGCUGGGCAGUUGCUGACGCUGAUGCGCGACAGCGUGGGGAGCAAACAGG